GAGUUUGAUCAUGGCUCAGAAUGAACGCUGGCGGCGUGCUUAACACAUGCAAGUCGUACGAGAAACCGGAACUUCGGUUCCGGGAGUAAAGUGGCGCACGGGUGAGUAACGCGUAGGUAAUCUACCCUUGGGUUUGGAAUAACCCGCCGAAAGGCGGACUAAUACCGGAUAAGAUCUUUCAGAGGGAUCUGAAAGAUCAAAGGUGGCCUCUCCAUGGAUGCUACUGCCUGAGGAUGAGCCUGCGUCCCAUUAGCUUGUUGGUAGGGUAAUGGCCUACCAAGGCUACGAUGGGUAGCUGGUCUGAGAGGAUGAUCAGCCACACCGGAACUGGAACACGGUCCAGACUCCUACGGGAGGCAGCAGUGAGGAAUAUUGCGCAAUGGGGGAAACCCUGACGCAGCGACGCCGCGUGGGUGAAGAAGGCCUUCGGGUCGUAAAGCCCUGUCUAGAGGGAAGAAAUUCUCAAUGGAAUAAUACCCGUUGAGAUUGACGGUACCUCUGGAGGAAGCACCGGCUAACUCCGUGCCAGCAGCCGCGGUAAUACG
RNAcentral lists this ribosomal RNA (545 nucleotides) under uncultured delta proteobacterium. RNAcentral describes it as "bacterial SSU rRNA". It matches the Rfam family "Bacterial small subunit ribosomal RNA", at positions 9 to 527 of the family's 1533-position model. The record is from RNAcentral. Lineage: Bacteria; Deltaproteobacteria.